UAAUCAGAUGACUCUAUCCAAGACAUUUCUGG
RNAcentral lists this non-coding RNA (32 nucleotides) under Rattus norvegicus (Norway rat). The record is from RNAcentral. Lineage: Eukaryota; Metazoa; Chordata; Mammalia; Rodentia; Muridae.